Molecule: ribosomal RNA, 774 nt
Filed under: uncultured Neocallimastigales
Lineage: Eukaryota; Fungi; Neocallimastigomycota; Neocallimastigomycetes; Neocallimastigales
Description: partial large subunit ribosomal RNA
Rfam family: Eukaryotic large subunit ribosomal RNA
Source: RNAcentral
UAUGUGAUCGUCUCUCGCAUAUCAAUAAGCGGAGGAAAAGAAACUAACAAGGAUUCCCCUAGUAACGGCGAGUGAAGCGGGAAGAGCUCAAAUUUGAAAUCUUAAAGGGUUUCCCUUUACGAAUUGUAGUUUAAAGAAGUGUUUUCUGUUGAGGUUUUGGUAAAAGUUCUUUGGAAUAGGACAUCAUAGAGGGUGAGAAUCCCGUAUUUGACCUUUACUUUCAACUUUGUGAUACACUUUCAAAGAGUCGGAUUGUUUGGGAAUGCAGUCCAAAAUGGGUGGUAAAUUUCAUCUAAAGCUAAAUAUUAGCGAGAGACCGAUAGCGAACAAGUACCGUGAGGGAAAGAUGAAAAGAACUUUGAAAAGAGAGUUAAACAGUACGUGAAAUUGUCAAAAGGGAAGCGUUUGACACCAGUGUUGUUUUUCUGAAAAUCAAUUAAAGAACUGUUUAUGCUAAGCUGUUUAGACUUUAUCAGCUAUCUGUUUAGUUUUGAGCUUUUCUUUAAUGCACUUUUCAGUUAACAAGUCAACAUCAAUUUCUUUUGCUGUAAAAAAGCUUGAGGAAGGUGGCUUGAGAUUCGUCUUAAGUGUUUAUAGCCUCUUGCCUAUGCAGUCGGAGAGAUUGAGGUCUGCAGCGUAGAUCCUUCGGGGCUAAAUGCAUUUGUGCUAAGUUAUAGCAUUUUAUAGACAACUUGUUGACUAUGAUUUGUCUUGUAGCUUACUCGCUUAUGUUAUUUUACCUACGCUUAGGAUGUUGAACGCGCACAGAGUCUC